RNAcentral lists this unclassified non-coding RNA (5980 nucleotides) under Pomacea canaliculata. Its description in RNAcentral is "uncharacterized LOC112559724, transcript variant X5". Lineage: Eukaryota; Metazoa; Mollusca; Gastropoda; Architaenioglossa; Ampullariidae. The record is from RNAcentral.
AGUUAUGUAAGCUCUGUAUAGAACACUUUUAUUGUAACUUCGGUUAGAAGUUUUCAAUCAUUCUACGAGACAAAAGAGUGUGUGCUUCAUCUGCUCUUUGUGCAUAGGCGUUAAUUUUUAUAUUCUUUUUUCGAUCAUGGUCAUCGCUGUUGAUAGCGAUGUGGACGGGAGGUAACUCCAUCAGUCAAGAAUCAGGAAGUUGCCGCCCCAUGUACGGGUAUUUUUGGUGGCCGAUACGCAGACAAAAAUCUAGAGAUCCAGAGAUGAUGACUUACAGAUGAAGCUUAACUAUGAUGUGAUGGCUCAAGAAUCCUACCUACAGCCUAACAGUGUAACAUAUAUGAGAGAUUGGAUUUUUUUUUUUAUCACCUUGAAGUGAGAAAGAUUUCAUGAAUCAGUGUGACAUAUAUCAGAGAUUGGAUAUUUUCUUUGUCACCUUGAAGUGAGAAAGAUUUCAUAAAUCACGUGGUCCACCAUACUACAUUUUCUACCGAGCGAUAGUGGAAGGUAGUCAUUAAAGUGACAAGAUGAUGGGUGUUCCUGUGGUACAUGUCCCUCCUGGUGAUGUGGGAUCAUCUGCCCUAGCUGCAAGUUUCCAACCUGCCCAUCCAUCUGCUGCAAAAUUAACUGAAGACCAGGUACCAUCCUCCAGAGAGGAUACAGAGAAGGCAACAAGUGCUCAGGAGUUAAACUUAGCCAGGAAGUGUUUGACCCUGUCAUCAGAAACUUUCCAGCAAGUGGGUGGAAGCUUAGCACCACAAAGCACACAGUUACUCCAGCCUGCAGUUCAUUUAUUACCACAGGGAGCUUUUUUAAACCUUCCAAACACUGUCAGAACAAACAUGGCGUCACCAGGUCUUCAGCUUCCGUUUAUCAACAGCAUGAAUCAUAAUACCAAGCUGUCAUCAGCUUUACCAUUAAUGGUAAAUGGUUCACAGACAUGCCGAGUAAAAACACCUUCAUUGACACAGUUACAGAUAAGCAGGGCACAGAGUAACUCUGGCAGUUUAUUAUUGGCUGAAGCCACUCAAGGACCAGAAGGUGAUAGUAGUAGCUCACAAAAACACAGUCAUGAUACCCAACACGAUGUCCUUUCAAGCAAGCAUAAUCUUGAUUGCCUACCAUCUCAGUCGCAGAAUGCACAAAUGUCACCAAUACAAGACAAUGAUAACAUUGUAACAUCCGCUGAUCGGUCUGUGAUAACUGUUUCUUCUCAGCAGAAUCAUGUAGCUUUGGUGCCUUUAUUUUCACAGUUUCUUCCCCCUGUGACUAUAUCAGCUGGCAGUGAAAGGCAUACACAACAUCCUCUCACCCAAAUCCAAGAGAAAUAUGAGAAACCAAAAGUCAUUUCCAAAAAAGUGUCUGCUUCCAAAAUCAAGAAGAACCAUUCCAAAGAGAAUUACAUGAGAACACUUCUAACAACUUCAGUGGAAAAGAUGUCAGUUUCUCUAGACUCAGACCCUGUUAAUGGAGAGCACAAUAAUGCAGAUACCAUAUCUGUGACUCUUCCAUCGCAGAUGCAUGCAGACGUCAAAGCUCAUAAGCCUAUGGGAACUGGACAAACCCAUGAAAAGAAUGCAGUGGAUAUGGCAGCUAAUAAUUAUGGAGUUGAUGGUGAUGACAAUGAAAUAGUCUGGCUUAACAAGGUAGUUAAAGUUAAACCGUACUGUGAAAUCAAGAACACAGCUCCUUGCACUUGUCACUGUCCUAACUUCAACAUUAGGAAUUUCAGUGGAGCUGUGGGCAGCACAUGCAAGGUUGCAGCAAACAUUGCUGUUGAAGGUGAUGAUGACAUAAUCUGGGUUAACAGAACUAUUAGAGGCAAACCAAGCUGUGAUUUUCACAGUACCAAGUGUUCUUUCCGCAUGCAGAAUCCACCUGGUGUCAUUGUGUUGGAUGAUGAUGACGACAACGAUGUUGAAAUACUAAGUGCGGAGUCAGUUAGGCCUGUUCCGCUUCCAUUAUCAAGUGACAAUCACACUGCUACUUCUAAAGACUCACAUAUAAAAAUUCAUUCUAAAUCAGAAAGUUUACAAGGAAUUCCUUCUGCAGUUUUGGAAGUUCCUUUUAGUGAGGAAACUAGCUCAGUGAAACAAGAAGGUACAAAAUCCAAGUCUUAUCUCAUAAGCAGUGACCACACUGCAGGAGCAUAUGAUGUUGUCCCUGACAACUCACCUCAGUAUAGAAGUAUCCAUUCUGAAACAGAAAACAUACAAAAGCAGCCACCUUCUGCCAUUCCUCAAAUUGAUUCUGGUGCAAACACUUGCGUAGCUAGACAGCAGGAAAAGCAACUUGCAGGUGACUGCUCUGAUCAUGUAACCCAGCAUUUAGAACCGAUAUACAAUCAGAUGAUUGAUGCAAGCUUUCCUUUGAAUGUGCAAGCCUCCAUUCUUCAGCCAGGAGGUGGCAGUGGUAAAGACUAUGUAUCAACCUGUGAUGCUGGGGACUUUGUAACACCCUCAGCAACAGCUGGAACAUCACAUUUGUUGGAAGGUUCAUUGCCAAACAGCCAGCUUCAUAGUUCAUUUUCAGAUAAUGAUAACUUGGGAUUUUUUAUCAGUGAGGUAAAGACUGUCACACCCGACUUCAACCCUCUUCAUGAGCUCUCAUCUGAAGGAUUUUACGUGUGUGGUUGCAUGUUGGGAGAGUGCAAUUUCAGUACUCAGUUUGCUUCUAUCUUUGAAAUGCAUUUGCAAAAGAGCCAUGCAAAGAGUAAAAUAUUUACUUGUGUACAUUGUGGGAAGUUGGAAGAGAGCAACAAAGAGGCUGUAGACCAUCUUCAGAAACAUUUGGACCAGAGCAGAGAUAUGAUACAUUGCACACAGACAAAUUGUAGAUAUAGCUGUAUCUCACCUGAAGAGUUCUUAGGGCAUACAGUGCUUACUCACCAAGAUCUUCCUCAUCCUAUUUGCUGGAACUGUCACAUGACCUUUACAUCUCUCAGUCAGCUGGUAGCACAUGUCAAAUACAAUUUACUACAGAUGGUGCAUUGCGUUUAUUGUGAGGCGGCAGACACCAGCAUUGAACGCAUUCUGAAGCAUGUAGAUAAAAACCAUGCAAUGGGCAAGCGAAAGUAUGCUGUUAAAAAGGUCCUUCUUUGUCUGGAGAGGGCAUCAAACCAUUGCAAAAAUGAUGCUGUGCUCGCUGCUGCAGAGAAUGACUCAUCAAUUAUUAGCGAGAAGCAGGAGGGGCAUUUAAAUGCAUCAGGUGAGGUGCCUAAUGUACUAGGCAAAGAGAAACUGUUAAAAACAAGAGAAAAUGAACCUGCUGAAAAUGAACCUGAUUCUUUAAAUGAGUCAGACAACAUUGUCGAUUGUGAAACAUCUGUGUUUGAAACUGUCUGGAUAAAAGAGGGCUCACAUCAGUUAGAAAAUUGCAUCAAAAACACGAUAAUGGAAAUGCAAAGUCCUAUGGUAGAACAUGAAUUGAAGGAAGCUCAUAGGGAUAUUCAGAAAAGCAGCAAGUUGUCUUCUAAAUCACUGUCUUCAAACAAAAAGCAGCAGACAAACAAGCAAGAAUUUUCAGAUAAAAUUCAGCAGAAGUGCGACAGUAUUACUUUUGGUCCUAAAGUGACUCCUCCCAGCAGAAAGCAGGAGGCAAAAAAAAAAUAUUACCAAAAGAAUGAUAUGCUUACUCCUAGUCCAAUGCUAACUCCUUCCCAUGAAAAGCAGAAGCAGACACCUUCCACCAAGCAGAAGCAGAAGACAAAAGGUCAAGAAAUGGAGGGUAACAAAAUUCAAAAGGGUGGUGAAUUAUGUUCUAGAUCAUCCCGUUCCUAUGAAAAGCAGGAAUUGAAAGUUCAAACAAUUGCAGUUAAAAAAGUUGAUCAACACAGUGGCUUUGACGCCCCUAAUAUGUCUCAUUCAUGCAAAACAGUACUUGAACAAAAUAGGGAAGUGCAAAGAUAUGAGUGCACAAUCUGCCAGCAAUAUUUUGCAAAGAAAGCAAACCACAUGCAGCAUAUUCAUGCCCUUGUUCCACUGAAUCCCAGUUUGCUGGCAGAAAAUUUAAGUGAAAAACAUUUUUCAACAGACAUGAGGCAAAAAACUGCAAAGUAUCCUUUCACAAGAAAAAGAUUAGCCCAGGAGCAGGAACACAGCCCAUCCAAGCAGACUUUACUGGCAAGCAUGAAGUCAGAAGGAGGAGCACCCAAAAUAACCCUUUCCAGCUCACUCAGUCAGUUACCAUUCAAACAAUUAAGAUCACACUCAGAAUCCAGCCAAACUGACAGUGAAUUAUCAGAUCAAACAGUCUGUAGCAGUGAAAACUCAACAUCUCCAUCAAAAGAAAUCAGGUAUUGUUGUCACAGCUGCCCGCUUACCUUUACAAAUAGAAAAAAGUUUUUUAAACAUGUGCACCAGCAUAAUUUAUGUAAACAUUCUAAGGACCCAAUGUGCUCUUUACUUUCUACGCCUGCAAAAUAUGCAUUGACAAGCACGGACAGUGCACACUCUCAAGAGACACAUGAUCUUAAAGUGGAAGGGACUAAGAAGGAAAGCAAAGAGUGCAUCCAGCACUGUGAUGUGAAACAACAUCUUGAUAUAUCAUCAUCAAGCUGCAGAAAGAGAUCUGGUGUGGUAGAGAAAGAUGCAAAAUCUUCCCAUUCAAAACACAGAAGACCAAACCAGACUGUACAUCAAAAAGGUACAUCAAAAUGUCGUGAUUCAUGUGGAAGCAAACAGUCUACUCAAAUGGACACUGAGCAACCAGGGAGCUAUAACAGCAAGCCAAAGGCAUUUGUGAAACUUAAAAAUCAUGAGAAACAAAAGGUCUUGUUAUCUUGGCUUGUAAGUAUGUCUAUCACCAAGAAAGCCCUUCAUGAAGACUACAUCAUCAAUGAAGAUGACAUCCAUUUGACCCUAGAGGAUAUUCCACAUUCUUGUUUAGAUGAUAGUGUGAACCUUAGUUUGGUUCAGCAUUUCUUCACUGCUGAUGCUUGGAAAUUGAUAUAUGCUUUAAUAGAGAUUAAGAAAGAGGAGCCAUGGCUUUGCAAAUGCUGUGAGAGAACUCUUAAGAAGAAGUCUGUGGGGUGUGAUUCCUGCCUUUGCUGGUACCACUUUCAGUGUGCUGGCUUAUGCAAACAACCCAAAGAAGAAUUUUGGUUCUGCAAGUCUUGUGAAAGUGGGAAGUGUGUGCCCUUUCAGCCCUAAGCUAAGAAGUCAAGAACAACCCGUCAAAGAGUACAUUAGAUUCUAUGCUGUGUUCAGAAUAAAAUGUCUUUAAUCUUUGCUUCCUAGCACCCACUACCAUUGAAAAGCUAUCCUGAAGCUGUUUGUUUUCAACAACUGCACUCUCCUCGCCCACUCACUAGAGACACUGCAGUCAGUCAUUAACCAAUAUGCCCAAACAGAGCUCCUGAAGAAAGUAGAAGUAAUGUACCAAAAGCCUCAACAAGCUUACGGCAUGGCUUCACAGUGUAAUCAAAAAUGAGACCGCAAUAUCCAAGGACUUUGACAUAAUCUCUCUAUCAGCUUGCACCUUCUGACACUCACUGCACAUCAUGCAAAUUUAGCUCUAUGGAGUCAUUGUUGUUCUGGUGCUGCUAUAUAAAACAGAGGCAUAGAGCAGCAGUUAAAUCACUUCCACCAGCGCUGUCAGGAAUUAUUCAUGGGCAGUAGGGCCAUGCCUCCAGGUCUUGGAAAAGGCAAAUCUGCCCCGCGUUGAAGAUAUCCUCUUGAUCAAGCAGCUCUAUUGGGUAAAUGUUAUCCGUAUGGAGAACUUUCCCCUGCCCAAAGCUGUCUUUUAAUUGGAACUGUGCAAUGGCAGGCAGCAAAUCAGAAAAAGAUGCGAAGAAAGAAAAGGAAGACUUGUAACUGAACAUUGCACAUGUAUGUUCUCUGAAGGAUAAAGAUGUGUUUCACUGACAGUAAAACUUGUUUAAACUUUGAAGAAAGUAUCAAGAUUAUUAUCAGUUUUCAAAAUUUAGUUUGUGUUGCCUUUUUCAAUACUCUUUUACCUAGUAAACAGAACUGGAAACUUG